AGUGAACGCUGGCGGUAGGCCUAACACAUGCAAGUCGAACGGCAGCACAGUAAGAGCUUGCUCUUACGGGUGGCGCGUGGCGGACGGGUGAGGAAUACAUCGGAAUCUACUUUUUCGUGGGGGAUAACGUAGGGAAACUUACGCUAAUACCGCAUACGACCUACGGGUGAAAGCAUGGGAUCUUCGGACCUUGCGCGAUUGAAUGAGCCGAUGUCGGAUUAGCUAGUUGGCGGGGUAAAGGCCCACCAAGGCGACGAUCCGUAGCUGGUCUGAGAGGAUGAUCAGCCACACUGGAACUGAGACACGGUCCAGACUCCUACGGGAGGCAGCAGUGGGGAAUAUUGGACAAUGGGCGCAAGCCUGAUCCAGCCAUACCGCGUGGGUGAAGAAGGCCUUCGGGUUGUAAAGCCCUUUUGUUGGGAAAGAAAAGCAGCAGGUUAAUACCCCGCUGUUCUGACGGUACCCAAAGAAUAAGCACCGGCUAACUUCGUG
Molecule: ribosomal RNA, 492 nt
Filed under: uncultured bacterium
Lineage: Bacteria
Description: partial 16S ribosomal RNA
Rfam family: Bacterial small subunit ribosomal RNA
Source: RNAcentral